GAACGCUGGCGGCAUGCCUAACACAUGCAAGUCGAACGAACCCUUCGGGGUUAGUGGCGCACGGGUGCGUAACGCGUGGGAAUCUGCCCUUUGCUUCGGAAUAACUCAGGGAAACUUGUGCUAAUACCGGAUGAUGUCUUCGGACCAAAGAUUUAUCGGCAAGGGAUGAGCCCGCGUAGGAUUAGGUAGUUGGUGGGGUAAAGGCCUACCAAGCCGACGAUCCUUAGCUGGUCUGAGUGGAUGAUCAGCCACACUGGGACUGAGACACGGCCCAGACUCCUACGGGAGGCGGCAGUGGGGAAUAUUGGACAAUGGGCGCAAGCCUGAUCCAGCAAUGCCGCGUGAGUGAUGAAGGCCCUCGGGUCGUAAAGCUCUUUUACCAGGGAUGAUAAUGACAGUACCUGGAGAAUAAGCUCCGGCUAACUCCGUG
RNAcentral lists this ribosomal RNA (430 nucleotides) under uncultured bacterium. Its description in RNAcentral is "partial 16S ribosomal RNA". It matches the Rfam family "Bacterial small subunit ribosomal RNA", at positions 31 to 507 of the family's 1533-position model. The record is from RNAcentral.